Molecule: ribosomal RNA, 254 nt
Filed under: uncultured bacterium
Lineage: Bacteria
Description: partial 16S ribosomal RNA
Rfam family: Bacterial small subunit ribosomal RNA
Source: RNAcentral
CACGUAGGGUGCGAGCGUUGUCCGGAAUUAUUGAGCGUAAAGAGCUCGUAGGCGGUGUGUCGCGUCGGCCGUGAAAACCUGCAGCUUAACUGUGGGCUUGCGGUCGAUACGGGCAUCACUGGAGUUCGGCAGGGGAGACUGGAAUUCCUGGUGUAGCGGUGAAAUGCGCAGAUAUCAGGAGGAACACCGGUGGCGAAGGCGGGUCUCUGGGCCGAUACUGACGCUGAGGAGCGAAAGCGUGGGGAGCGAACAGG